Molecule: long non-coding RNA, 280 nt
Filed under: Sorghum bicolor (sorghum)
Lineage: Eukaryota; Viridiplantae; Streptophyta; Magnoliopsida; Poales; Poaceae
Description: long non-coding RNA (SBIC_LNC006231)
Source: RNAcentral
GCCCCCCCACCAGACAAGUCGAGACCCUUCUGGGUUCUCGCAGGGACCAAACGUGCGCCGCUAGCUCAACAAGUCAACAGCAUCAACACGUUACAACAGUCCAACAGGCUACAGCGACCGUGCGAAAAAGACAUGGCACCAGGAAUGAAAAAAAAAGAGAGAGAAGGAACACUGAAUAACCCUGACGGUCCGACGCGCCACCGGGAUUCCAUAUUCGCAAUUGCAAUGGGGCCUUGUUUAGUUCCUAAAAAAAUUUACAAAAUUUUUCAGAUUUCCCGUC